Lagopus muta (rock ptarmigan) is the source of this 4744-nucleotide long non-coding RNA. RefSeq lists it as uncharacterized. The transcript has 6 exons. The record is from RefSeq and is a predicted model, not a curated record. NCBI's taxonomy places the organism in Eukaryota, Metazoa, Chordata, Aves, Galliformes, Phasianidae.
UGAAGUGAAACCCCACUGUUUUCUUGCAGUGCAAAGAGAUGCUGGGUCACUUCAGAGCUGCAGCUGAGUUUGGAUACAUAAUUUUGUGAGAAACCAUUUUCAGUUGCUUUCAACUUGUUUUGGAUUCAACUCAUGAUCUUAAUGAUGAAGGACGCCACAACCUAUUAGCAGUCAUCUGAGCCAUCCAGAUCUCUCAAGAGCCUGUUUCAGUAAGUUGGUUAUGGAGAGCUCCUCCACAGAAGAUGGAAGGUCCAAAUUGAUAGAUACUGUCAAAAGGACCUUCAGAGGAUACAAAGGUUCUCCAGUCCUCGAAGAGGUUACUUCAAAAGGCUGCAGCAAGCACGUCAUUUUCCUAUCACUGUCCAACAUGUAAGGGAGACAAAGUUGAAUAAUCACGGAGAAAUCAAUUGAUGAAGAACGGGACUUGACUCCAUGCCAUGAGUUUCAUUAUUUUUGUAUAUGAACUUAGAUACUACUGGAUCUGAGACUGCAAGCUGUUACAUGCUCUUACUACAACAGCCUGAUUAACUUUUAAUGGGAAAAAAAUUUUGUUCCACUUUCAAAUACAGUAAUCUGGUAAAGGGUUAGCCAUCAAAGACCCAGUUAAAGGGCAGGAGCACAGCAAGAGACCUGUAAAGCUCGGCUACAAGGGUGUAGCUCAAGAAAAAUAAGCAAUUAGAGUUGGCAGGAAGGGGAUGUCAGAUGUGCAACUGUCUCUUGCAUGAAUUGUCUCCCAGAAAGCUGAAGGACAGCACAAAAUUAUCUUUCCUUAGAGACUCAUCCAUAAGUGGUGUUAAUGACUGUCAGUUACAUUCAAUUUGAUAGUUAUCAUCUGAAAUGAUUGAUUGUAGCUGUGCUGCACAUGGAUAUGGUUAGCAAAAUCUCCCCAUGCUUUCGUUAUCCUAGAAGAUAUCACUAGGCUUAUAGUUUGACAGUUAGCACUCAGAUGGUGCUCUACACCUCUCUGGUAAGUAUCAUGCUGUUUUUCUGUUUACAGACAUAAUGGUAACAUUGGACUGUGUUCUGAAGGAAAAAUAAUUUUUAAAUCUACAGUAGAUUUUUUUUUUUGCUGCCUCUGGUGCAUGUGAUAAUUUGCUUGAAGCGUUUUGGGAAAAAAACUGCUUGAGAAAAGCCAAAAUGGCCAGCAUACAAAAAUUCUGUGGUUCUGGAAACCAGUUUAAUAACUCCCAGAAGGUGGCUUUGUUCACCAGCUGAGCUCCAAAUAUGAUGCCUUUUGAAGUGUAGACAACUGACUACUGGCAUCCUCUAACCUUUGAAGAGAUCUGUUUUCACAAAAUCUUCUAACAUGGGAGAACCUGUGCCUGUAAGUGAAGAAAGUAAUGGAGCAGCUGUUGAGGUUCUUGAACACAGGUAUCCAUCUUUGUAAAAUCUCAAUUUCUCCCAUGUUCAGACAGAGAUGAAUGUAGAGAUUGUGGUUUGGCCUAUCGCAUAGCAGGUGGCUUGAGGCAGAAAUCUUGGGUGCAGGUACGUUUCCAUAUCCAAGCUUCCUUGAAGCUUCAGGGCUGGGAUUGGGACUCAUUAUCGUAAUGCAUUAAAUUAAUGUUAUAGAUGAAAUUCCAAUUCAAUCUUCUUCGUAAGAGAACUUUUGACAUGAUAUAUUAACCAUCAGAUUAGAAGAAGACUGACUGAUUGCCAUUUAAUGCAAUUGAAUGCCAGGAUUUUUCAUGUGAUGAAGCUGGCUGGGUGGGGAAUAUAAAUCUGCUGGUACCAGUACCCUUAUAAACUUUAAAUGGGAGGAAGAUUAAAAUUCCAUGGAUGGGAUAUUUAUUUGCAGCCAUUAUUCACAGAGUGAUGUAUCACAGAGUCAUGAAAAUGCAAGUGCCCAUCUUUUCUUUCAUAUGAAGCCUUUGAAAAAAGGAUUAAUGUAGUUCUAAUCAUAGUUUGGAUGGUACUGCAUGCUCUUACUUUUUAAUAUGUCUGCACAUGUACUCUAAAUUUACCUGGAAGUCAUCCCACAGAUGUGUAGUAGUUUCCAAUUAUUGUAAGGGCAUAAAGAACAAGACAGAAAUGAAGUCCUCUGGGUCGUUAAGUCUAAAUCCUUGCUAUUGCAGGGAAGUUUAGCCCAUUUCCUUUCUGGUCUCCUCCCAUUUCAGGAUUUUAAAAAUCUUACAUGCAGCAGAGCCACUACAAUAGUUCCAUGAUUACAUUCUUUGCUUCUUUUCUUUGCUUGGAUAAUAAAACAUUCCUUCCAACAUUGAGCAGACUUUAAAAAGUUUGAAAUUACAACUUAAUAAUUUUUUUAGCUGAGAAAACAUUUGUUUCAGAGAGGAGAGAAAGUUUCUGAGUGUGUUUAGUUGUCUUUGACUCCUGAUUUUAUUACUAGAUAUUUUAUUCUGCUCUUUCUUUCUGACCCCUAAUAGCUGCACCUCUGUUAGGAUGGACUCAGGAGUGUCAGCAGGUUUGGUACCUUGCUAGUUGGGCAGCUAUCUAAAUCUUGUAUGCUGCAGGGCAUCUAGGAGGCUCAGACAAAGAGUUUGGACUGCUUUCCAAAUGAUGUAAUCCAAAAGAGACUACAGCUCAACAGGAACACUUGUGACCUGAAUGAUCUUCUGUGUCAUCUGCAGACUUUUUGGAGUAUGGCAGCAGGAAUUCAAAAUCCAGUGAUGCAGGUUAACAACAUGAAAGGAUGUGCUUUUUGUCUGGGUCUGAUGCUUUCCAAGCUGAGUGAUGUUGGGAUUUUACCGAUGUGACCAGCUGAGCUAUUAGAUCAGUUCAGAUCUGCUCUGAGUUAUUAGAUGCAACAGAAAAAAAAAUAAAUCUGCAGUUGAUUUUCUCCAAAUCUAAUUGGGAAUAAAGCCAGAUUCUCUGACAAGUUCCACGGGGAUAUGUCUAGUACUGUUGAAUCAAGUUUAUUCUGGCUUUAUGUUGGAGCAUGGAGGACGAUGAUGAAUCUCACUGAACUCUUAUUACUUAGUUACCAUUUUGACAAUUGUGCUCUGAGCUACGAAGCCAUCAGGUUUGUCAUACUGUGCAAUCCCUCUCCAUCCUCAAGAAACAUCUUGGCUUCUGAGGGCGUUCUUUAGACAGCAGACUCUGGAUUGAUAUCAGCCUAGAAGAUGUGCCCAAAAGAGGAUGAAGGGAAUGAAGACGUGCUCAGUUUGCCUUUGAAGAUAGGAAUGUUGUAGUCUAUGCUGUGUGUUAUCACAAAGGUAAUGUGAUUACUCCACAGGACUAUGAGUGCCAAGCACGGCGCUCUAUGAGCUGCUGUGGGGAAUGUUAACUCCAUCCCAGGCACAUCCAGUACAGAGGUAUCCACUGGCUUCUCACCCAAAUGAUAUUUUCAGUGCUUAAUGAUGGUAUUAUACCUAAGGCUCAAUUUAAAAACAAAGCAAACAAACAAAAAAAAAGCCAGUAUUCUUUGUGCUCUUUGUCUCAUGGACUAGGUCAGGGAAUGUAGGCGUGUUCCUCUCUUCCUGAUAGAAUUUCUACAUAGAUCAGACAGCUAGCACGCAGACUGAAGAAACAGUAGCUAAUGCACAAAAAAACGUUAUGAGAAAGCCAAGGUAGUGAGGCAGCUUGCAACAACAAAGGACUGAGUGACCUGAGGGCUUGAGGCAGAAGCAAACCCAUCUAACCUCUGGGUACUAGAAAUAACGGUGAGUACUUGCAGAAAGAAUCUUGUCCUAGUUACUCAGCUGGCUAUAGUAAAGAUCUAAUUUCUAACUUUUUAUAGUGUGUUGCUAGAGCUCAUGGGCCAAGUUCUCUGCCUGUGUUGGUUUACCUUAUUUUUAUUCUUUUUUUUUUUUUUUCCCCACAUCAGUUCUGCUGUUUCAUAUAAGAUCUCUCUGCAAUUAUAGCUUUUGCAAUCUUCUCCUUUUUUUUUUUUUUUCUCCAUCUCACUCAUCUACACUUUUAGUACCUUCAGUGACUUCAGAUCUUCCAUUCUUCAUGGCCAAGAAUAACUUCUCACCUCUGUGGAUUUGAUGUUCUUGGUCCUUUUGCUGGCCACUGCCGUGACACAGGGCUUGGAACUAGGUGAUCUUUAGGCUCUCUUGCAACCCACACCGUUUUGUGGCCUUGGCUCUCCUUUGUAUCUGACGUUGGCUGUGUUACAAGACCUAGUUUCAUAGUCUUGAGAACGAUAACAAAGAUUGUACCUUGUCCUUUGACAGUGGAGAUAGAUAAUGGGCACUUCACUGCAAUUCUUACAAUGUAAAAACAGCUGAUCCAACUGUUCCCAUAAAAGUCCAAUUGGUUGCAGUAGGCAUUAUGUUCAUUCUGACAAUGAUAAAAUGAUUGCUUUAGUAUCUGGCUGUGUAACCCAUUUACAGCUUGUGCACCGGUAUUAUAAGAGUGUUUCAAUUGUGAAAAUCAUUGAGAUGUAAAUGUCAUGAUUAUAAUUUAUCUUCAUUAAAAAUUCAAUUGGAAGAAGGAAAAUUAAUACAUGUGCUGUAUAGUGUACCAGAUACUAAAAAGUAAUAUGUUAUACUGAAAAUAGGGACUUAGGAAUGAAACUACAUCAGAAAAUAACUCAGAAGCACAUUCUAGUGAUGUGACAGGUGGUUAUCUCAAGGGCAUUGCCAGAAAUAUUUUACUGGCUCUCAGUUCUUGUCUGGAGUGGUGUAAUAUUUCAUCUUUCUCUAAUAGCAAUCUUAACACCUCUCCCCCCUCCCUACGCUGCCAACGCAGACAAGCAGCCAAACAGACGGGGCUGUCGUCUUGUGUUUUAAUGCUUGAAAAUGAUUGUAUCACCUGAAACCACCAUCAGCUUGGAGCACAAAAG